Molecule: ribosomal RNA, 253 nt
Filed under: uncultured bacterium
Lineage: Bacteria
Description: partial 16S ribosomal RNA
Rfam family: Bacterial small subunit ribosomal RNA
Source: RNAcentral
UACGAAGGGGGCUAGCGUUGCUCGGAAUUACUGGGCGUAAAGGGCGCGUAGGCGGACAUUUAAGUCGGGGGUGAAAUCCCAGGGCUCAACCCUGGAACUGCCUUCGAUACUGGAUGUCUUGAGUGCGGGAGAGGUGUGUGGAACUCCGAGUGUAGAGGUGAAAUUCGUAGAUAUUCGGAGGAACACCAGUGGCGAAGGCGGCUCACUGGUCCAUUACUGACGCUGAGGUGCGAAAGCGUGGGGAGCAAACAGG